GCAGCAUGUAGUUCCACGUCUCAUUCCACUGAUUUGUGCCCCUGUGAGGCUGAUCCCUCCUCUCCCCACCACACCUUUAGCGCCAACACAAGGCAAGAAAGCGGGCAGAGGGACAAACUGGGCAGACCCAUUGUGUUUCUGGGCAAGGUGCAGGUGUGCAACAAUUUAAAUGCUGGUGCCUGCACAUCUGCUCCAUUUGCUUCAGAGCUCACACUAAG
Molecule: non-coding RNA, 218 nt
Organism: Pelobates cultripes (western spadefoot toad)
Lineage: Eukaryota; Metazoa; Chordata; Amphibia; Anura; Pelobatidae
Source: the annotation of a GenBank genome assembly